UACGAGGGGGCUAGCGUUGCUCGGAAUUACUGGGCGUAAAGCGCACGUAGGCGGAUCUUUAAGUCAGGGGUGAAAUCCUGGAGCUCAACUCCAGAACUGCCUUUGAUACUGAGGACCUUGAGUUCGGGAGAGGUGAGUGGAACUGCGAGUGUAGAGGUGAAAUUCGUAGAUAUUCGCAAGAACACCAGUGGCGAAGGCGGCUCACUGGCCCGGUACUGACGCUGAGGCACGGAAGCGUGGGGAGCAAACAGGG
Molecule: ribosomal RNA, 253 nt
Filed under: uncultured bacterium
Lineage: Bacteria
Description: partial 16S ribosomal RNA
Rfam family: Bacterial small subunit ribosomal RNA
Source: RNAcentral